GGGGAUGUGGCUCAGUGGUAGAGUGCUUGCCUAGCAUGCAUGAAACCAUGGAGGCAUCACCUCUG
This 65-nucleotide transfer RNA is filed under the name Dipodomys ordii (Ord's kangaroo rat). It matches the Rfam family "tRNA". From Rfam's summary of the family: Transfer RNA (tRNA) molecules are approximately 80 nucleotides in length. Their secondary structure includes four short double-helical elements and three loops (D, anti-codon, and T loops). The record is from Rfam by way of RNAcentral. Lineage: Eukaryota; Metazoa; Chordata; Mammalia; Rodentia; Heteromyidae.